Molecule: ribosomal RNA, 266 nt
Filed under: uncultured prokaryote
Description: partial 16S ribosomal RNA
Rfam family: Bacterial small subunit ribosomal RNA
Source: RNAcentral
UACGUAGGUGGCGAGCGUUGUCCGGAUUUACUGGACGUAAAGGGAGCGUAGGCGGACUUUUAAGUGAGAUGUGAAAUACCCGGGCUCAACUUGGGUGCUGCAUUUCAAACUGGAAGUCUAGAGUGCAGGAGAGGAGAAUGGAAUUCCUAGUGUAGCGGUGAAAUGCGUAGAGAUUAGGAAGAACACCAGUGGCGAAGGCGAUUCUCUGGACUGUAACUGACGCUGAGGCACGAAAGCGUGGGGAGCAAACAGGAUUAGAUAUCCCU